UUUCUCUACAUUACUUAGCAAAAAUAGAUUUUGUAAUCCCUGUACAUGUUUCCAUAUCUCAUUAUGAGCAUGACUUGUAUUUUAUUGUCACAUAACAGCAUUUUACUUGACCAAAAUACUGCAUUUCUGAAAAUUUACAACCUGUCACAAUUAUAAAGAAGACACUGAGAGAAAACACCUAAGCAGAAGGCACACGUGUGUAGGUAUGAGUGGAAAGGUCAUUAUCAUCUUCCUGUCUCUAGUUUUACUAAAUUGGCAGGAGACACACAGCAAAAGGGAAGAAUUAAUUAUGAAUUUUGCAGUAGUUAAUCUUGGUAUUUGUUUGGUUUUUCAGUGUUUGAACAUCUUUGGGAAUCUUGAACUCACUUUAUUUGAAGCAGCUUGGCUGAGACAAAUCUACUGUUUGAAAUCAAUGCACGAUCUAUGCAUUGAUCUUCAAUGGAUUGAUCCUCCUCAAAGAUACACAGGGAAAAAAAUCGAAUCUUGGAGUUCAUUUAUAAUGGGGAGAAACUCUUCACCAAGAAACUUUCGUUCCCCAUCAUAACUAUCUUCCUGGGCAGAUUUCAAAGUUAUUGCAAGAUAUGAAGAGCAAAAGCAGCAAGAUGAAAACCUGUCUCUCCAGUUGAGAAAUGCUGGCCUACACUGAAAUAACUUGUCACCAUCUUGCUCCUAGAGGUAGGAAUUCCCUCUGUGCAGGGAAUACAGAUUCCAACAGGCCAGAGAGGAACAGCUGAACAUGAAGAGUUGGGGCUCCAAACCUGGGCUUGGAUGCAGCUUCUCCAAGCAUUCAAGGACUCCCAGCAAAGAAAUGCUUUCUGCAAACUUUAUCUUCUUAGUGCCUGGGCGGAUUUAGGAAUUCAGUCAGCUGCCUGAGCUAGAAAGGUGCUAAUCUCCUCUUAGAGGCCUCCUGGUGACCCAGUAAGAGAGACUUUUCUCCCUUUCAGUGGAGAAGGCCACAAAAUGUAAGAACUGCCUUGCGGGGAGCUCAGCUCCUGCAGUGCUCUAUUCCCGCUGAGAGACUCCGGGAAAGCAGAGGUUUCCUUAAAGCUUAACUGACUCGCUGCUGCUCUUUCUGAGGAACAUUACUUGCAUUUUGCAAUUGGUGUUUUAAAAAUGUCACACAUUUUUGCUAGAGAAAAAUUGAUGUGCAGAAACCAGAUGAUUUGGAGAAUAAACAAAGUCAUAAAGAGA
Molecule: long non-coding RNA, 1191 nt
Organism: Cavia porcellus (domestic guinea pig)
Lineage: Eukaryota; Metazoa; Chordata; Mammalia; Rodentia; Caviidae
Exons: 2
Source: RefSeq, a predicted model, not a curated record